Molecule: ribosomal RNA, 1076 nt
Filed under: Pantoea sp. AMG 501
Lineage: Bacteria; Pseudomonadati; Pseudomonadota; Gammaproteobacteria; Enterobacterales; Erwiniaceae
Description: bacterial LSU rRNA
Rfam family: Bacterial large subunit ribosomal RNA
Source: RNAcentral
CACACUAUCAUGCAGUGAAUACAUAGCUGUAUGAGGCGAACCGGGGGAACUGAAACAUCUAAGUACCCCGAGGAAAAGAAAUCAACCGAGAUUCCCCCAGUAGCGGCGAGCGAACGGGGAGGAGCCCAGAACCAUCAUCAGCUUGUGCAUCAGUGGAAGCGUCUGGAAAGUCGCAGGGUACAGGGUGAUACUCCCGUACACAAAGGUGCACAGGCUGUGAGUUCGAUGAGUAAGGCGGGACACGUGGUAUCCUGUCUGAAUAUGGGGGGACCAUCCUCCAAGGCUAAAUACUCCUGACUGACCGAUAGUGAACCAGUACCGUGAGGGAAAGGCGAAAAGAACCCCGGCGAGGGGAGUGAAACAGAACCUGAAACCGUGUACGUACAAGCAGUGGGAGCCUUCUUUAUGGGGGUGACUGCGUACCUUUUGUAUAAUGGGUCAGCGACUUAUAUUCUGUAGCAAGGUUAACCGUAUAGGGGAGCCGCAGGGAAACCGAGUCUUAACUGGGCGUUAAGUUGCAGGGUAUAGACCCGAAACCCGGUGAUCUAGCCAUGGGCAGGUUGAAGGUUGGGUAACACUAACUGGAGGACCGAACCGACUAAUGUUGAAAAAUUAGCGGAUGACCUGUGGCUGGGGGUGAAAGGCCAAUCAAACCGGGAGAUAGCUGGUUCUCCCCGAAAGCUAUUUAGGUAGCGCCUCGUGAACUCAUCUCCGGGGGUAGAGCACUGUUUCGGCUAGGGGGCCAUCCCGGCUUACCAACCCGAUGCAAACUGCGAAUACCGGAGAAUGUUAUCACGGGAGACACACGGCGGGUGCUAACGUCCGUCGUGAAGAGGGAAACAACCCAGACCGCCAGCUAAGGUCCCAAAGUCAUGGUUAAGUGGGAAACGAUGUGGGAAGGCCCAGACAGCCAGGAUGUUGGCUUAGAAGCAGCCAUCAUUUAAAGAAAGCGUAAUAGCUCACUGGUCGAGUCGGCCUGCGCGGAAGAUGUAACGGGGCUAAACCAUGCACCGAAGCUGCGGCAGCGACACUAUGUGUUGUUGGGUAGGGGAGCGUUCUGUAAGCCGUCGAAGGUG